RNAcentral lists this ribosomal RNA (472 nucleotides) under Eukrohnia hamata. RNAcentral's name for it is "eukaryotic LSU rRNA". The record is from RNAcentral. Lineage: Eukaryota; Metazoa; Chaetognatha; Sagittoidea; Phragmophora; Eukrohniidae.
UGAGGGAAAGCUGCAAAGUACUCUGAAGAGAGAGUUCAAAAGGACGUGAAGCCGUCUGCAGGGAAACGGGUGAGACCGCACGGUAGACCCGCGGCGGAUUCAGCUCGCAGGGUCGGGUGCGUCCGGGGUUCUGGGGCCUGACUUGUCAGGUCCCUGGCCUCGGUCUCGCGCCUGCCUUCCGGGUGCACUUCCGCGCCACGGGUCGCGCAGGGCCCGACUCUGUGGCCGUCUGAAGCCCGGCGAGGAGGUGACGGGGCCUUCGGGCUCCGAGUUUAACUCGUCGGUGCGGAGACCGGCUGCGGGGUCGAGGAACGUCUGUCCGUCUCUGACGCGUGGGGCCGGGUCGGCUCGUCGGUUCGACUGGGUUGGAGCCAUGAAAUUCGUGGCUGCUCCCGACCGCCGGUGGGUUCCUCCUUGUCCUUUCGCCGGACGACCGGGACGCCUGUGCUCAGGUCGGCACCUCACCCGACCC